GAAAAAAUAUUCGCGGUGAACCUUUAUUUACCGCUUUUAUUCCAGUUAAUUAGAAUUUGUCACCUAAUAAAAAAAAUUAAAUUUAUUUAAUUAUAAAAUCUUUUUUGACAGACGGAUAAGACCAUGUUUUACCUGAUUUAUGGGCGGGCGGAUAAAACCAUCACCGCCUGCCAUUGAACAUCUUAUCUGUCAUGACUAUUCUCCAUUCACUAGUCUUUUUGAAGAAGCGAGAGGAGGA
This 238-nucleotide small RNA is filed under the name Arabidopsis thaliana (thale cress). Its description in RNAcentral is "ATSL302600". The record is from RNAcentral. Lineage: Eukaryota; Viridiplantae; Streptophyta; Magnoliopsida; Brassicales; Brassicaceae.